This 86-nucleotide transfer RNA is filed under the name Mustela putorius furo (domestic ferret). It matches the Rfam family "tRNA". From Rfam's summary of the family: Transfer RNA (tRNA) molecules are approximately 80 nucleotides in length. The record is from Rfam by way of RNAcentral. Lineage: Eukaryota; Metazoa; Chordata; Mammalia; Carnivora; Mustelidae.
GCCUGGUUGGCUCAUUUGGUAGAUCAUGUGACUCUUGAUCUCAACUCUUGAUAUCAGGGUUGUGAGUUCAAGCCCCACAUCAGGUA